AACGAACGCUGGCGGCGUGGCUAAGGCAUGCAAGUCGAACGAACAUAUCCCAAGGGCAACUGAGGGGUAUGUUAGUGGCGAACGGGUGAGGAAUACAUGGACAACGUACCCUGGACACGGGGAUAGCGGCGGGCCGCAAGGCUCUUUAGCGAAAGUGCCGGUAAUACCCGAUGAUCCCGUAUGAUCGCAUGAUCGUGCGGGCAAAGCUCCGACGGUCUGGGAUCGGUUCANGCCCUAUCAGCUAGUUGGUGAGGUAACGCUCACCAAGGCGGCGACGGGUACCGGCGUGAGAGCGUGACCCGGCACAUCGGAACUGAGAUACGGUCCGGACACCGUACGGGUGGCUGCAGCAACGAAUAUUCCGCAAUGGACGCAAGUCUGACGGAGCGACGCCGCGUGUAGGAUGAAGUCC
Molecule: ribosomal RNA, 412 nt
Filed under: uncultured bacterium
Lineage: Bacteria
Description: bacterial SSU rRNA
Rfam family: Bacterial small subunit ribosomal RNA
Source: RNAcentral